GUGGGUAUAGCUCAGUGGUAGAGCGCAUGCCUAGCAUGCGCAAGGUCCUGGAUUCAAUCCCCAGUACCUCCA
RNAcentral lists this transfer RNA (72 nucleotides) under Camelus bactrianus (Bactrian camel). It matches the Rfam family "tRNA". Rfam says of the family: Transfer RNA (tRNA) molecules are approximately 80 nucleotides in length. Their secondary structure includes four short double-helical elements and three loops (D, anti-codon, and T loops). Lineage: Eukaryota; Metazoa; Chordata; Mammalia; Artiodactyla; Camelidae. RNAcentral also lists the same sequence under 2 other names. The record is from Rfam by way of RNAcentral.